UACGGGGGGGGCAAGCGUUGUUCGGAAUUACUGGGCGUAAAGGGCUCGUAGGCGGCCAACUAAGUCAGACGUGAAAUCCCUCAGCUUAACUGGGGAACUGCGUCUGAUACUGGAUGGCUUGAGUUCGGGAGGGGGAUGCGGAAUUCCAGGUGUAGCGGUGAAAUGCGUAGAUAUCUGGAGGAACACCGGUGGCGAAGGCGGCAUCCUGGACCGACACUGACGCUGAGGAGCGAAAGCCAGGGGAGCAAACGGG
This 253-nucleotide ribosomal RNA is filed under the name uncultured bacterium. RNAcentral describes it as "partial 16S ribosomal RNA". It matches the Rfam family "Bacterial small subunit ribosomal RNA", at positions 524 to 776 of the family's 1533-position model. The record is from RNAcentral.